UACGUAGGGUGCAAGCGUUGUCCGGAAUUAUUGGGCGUAAAGAGCUCGUAGGCGGUCUGUCGCGUCGGAUGUGAAAAUCCAGGGCUCAACCCUGGACCUGCAUUCGAUACGGGCAGACUAGAGUUCGGUAGGGGAGACUGGAAUUCCUGGUGUAGCGGUGAAAUGCGCAGAUAUCGGGAAGAACACCCGUGGCGAAGGCGGCUCUCUGGGACGGUACUGACGCUGAUGCUCGAAAGCUAGGGGAGCAAACAGG
Molecule: ribosomal RNA, 253 nt
Filed under: uncultured bacterium
Lineage: Bacteria
Description: partial 16S ribosomal RNA
Rfam family: Bacterial small subunit ribosomal RNA
Source: RNAcentral